This 235-nucleotide ribosomal RNA is filed under the name uncultured Actinomycetales bacterium. RNAcentral describes it as "partial 16S ribosomal RNA". It matches the Rfam family "Bacterial small subunit ribosomal RNA", at positions 96 to 334 of the family's 1533-position model. The record is from RNAcentral. Lineage: Bacteria; Bacillati; Actinomycetota; Actinomycetes; Actinomycetales.
UGGCGAACGGGUGAGUAACACGUGGGUGAUCUGCCCUGCACUCUGGGAUAAGCCUGGGAAACUGGGUCUAGUACCGGAUAGGACCAUGCUUUAGUGUGUGUGGUGGAAAGUUUUUUCGGUGUAGGAUGAGCCCGCGGCCUAUCAGCUUGUUGGUGGGGUAAUGGCCUACCAAGGCGGCGACGGGUAGCCGGACUGAGAGGUUGGUCGGCCACAUUGGGACUGAGAUACGGCCCAG